This is a non-coding RNA of Alligator sinensis (Chinese alligator), 2154 nucleotides long. Lineage: Eukaryota; Metazoa; Chordata; Crocodylia; Alligatoridae. The record is from Rfam.
UGACCUCAGAACAGACAUGGUGACCCACUGAAUUUAAGCAUAUUAGUCAGUGGAGGAAAAGAAACUAACCAGGAUUCCUUCAGUAAUGGCGAGUGAACAGGGAAGAGCCCAGCGCUGAAUCCCUGUCCUGUGAUGGGGCACAGGAAAUGUGGUGUACAGAAGACCCACUCCUCAGUGCCACUCUUGGGGAGCCCAAGUCUUUCUGAUUGAGGCACAGCUUUUGGAUGGUCUGAGGCCAGUAGAGGCCCCCAGAACACCAGGACCAGGUCUUCUCAGAGUCAGGUUGUUUGGGAAUGCAGCUCAAAGAGAGUGGUAAACUCCAUCUAAGGCUAAAUACCAGCACAAGACUGACAGUCUACAAGUACCAUAAGGGAAAGUUGAAAAGAAUAUUGAAGAGAGACUUCAGGAGGGCAUGAAAGCAUCAAGAGGUAAAUGGGUGGGGUCUGCACAGUCUGCCCAGAAGAUUCAACCUGGUGGGUUUGGUCAGCCUGCCCAUGACAACAGAUCUCCCUCCCCCCCCACCCAGGGUGGGGUGGUUGGGGACCACCACCCAGAGAGCCCUGGCCCCUGUCAGGCAUAUUUCCACCAUGGUGGUGCACCAUGACUGGCUCUCAGUUGGCUAGGAAGGUCUGGUGGGCAGGUGGCUUGCCACUUCGCAGUGACAAGUUUUACAGCCCCCAGACAGUAGCUCGCCUUCUGCUAGGGGGUGGCAUGGGGGCCUUCCAGGGGACCGGCCCCCUUGUUCCUGUGCAACUGUCAACCAGAGUGGACAGUCCUCAGUGUAUCCUGACCACAUCAUCCAACUGGGCGGGGAGGGCCAUGCUUGGCACCCGGGGUCUGCGGUGAUGUCAGCCACCCACCCAACCUGUCUUGAAAUAUGGAUCAAGGAGUCUAAGAUGUGCACAUGUCAGAGGCUUGAAUGAAAGCCCUUGGCACAAUGAAGGUGAGGGCUGGCAUGCACUGGCUGAGAUGGGAUCCUGGGGCCACUGUUUGUGGAGGGCGCACCACCGGCCCGUCUUGCCCACCCCAUCAGAAACAUGGAGCAUGAGUGUACGUGCUAGGACCUGAAAGAUGGUAAACUAUGCCUGGGCAGGGCGAAGCCAGAGGAAACUCUGGUGGAGGUCCAUAGUGGUCCUGAUGUACAAUUGGUCAUCCAAUCUGGGUUUAGAGGCAAAAGACUAAUUGAACCAUGUAGCAGCUGGUUCCCUCUGAAGUUUCCCUCAGGAUAGCUGGCAAUCAUAUGUCUCUGCAGUUUUAUCUGUUAAAGCAAAUGAUUAGAGGUCUUGGGUCCAAAAUGAUCUCAACCUAUUCUCAAACUUUAAAUGGGUAAGAAGUCUGUCUCACAGGUGUGAAGCCAGGUGUGGAAUGCAAGUGCCUAGUGGGCCACUUUUGAUGAGCAGAACUGGCACGGUGGGAUGAACUAAACAUUGGGUUAAGGUGCGUGAUGCCAAUGCUCAUCAGACCCCAGAAAAGGUGUUGGUUGAUAUAGACAGCAGAACGGUGGCCAAGGAAGUUGGAAGCUGCUAAGGAGUGUGUAACAACUCACCUGCCAAAUCAAUUAGUCUGAAAAUGGAUGGUGAUGGAGCAUCGGGCCCAUACCCAACCGUCACCAGCAAUGAGAGCUGUGGGGGCUAGGCUGCAACGUGUAGGAGGGCCGCUCUGGUAGUCCUUGAAGCCUAGGGUGCAGGCCCAAGUGGAGCCCCCACAGAUGCAGAUCUUGGUGUAGUAGCAAAUAUUCAAAUGAGAACUUUGAAGGCCAAAGUGGAGAAUGGUUCCAUGUGAACAGAAGUUGAACAUGGGUCAGUCGGUCCUAAGAGGUAAGCAAGUGCCAUUCUGAAGGGACAGGCAAUGGGCUCCAUUGCCCUCAGCUGAUCAUAAGGGAGUUGGGUUCAGAUUCCUGAAUCUGGAGUGGUGGAGACGGGUGCCGUGAGGCAUCCAGUACGGUAACACAGCUGAUCCCGGAGAAGCCGGAGGCCUUCCCCACCCCAAAGAAAUUGCCCACAUAGCAGAGCCUGGUGAGUGUGACCACCUUGAGUAGUGUGAAAGCCAGGAAGGUGCCUGCAGGGAGAAGCAGCUGCAUGGUAGUGUUCUUCCACUCCAGGUGUAGCUGGAGCUGCUCCAGGAGGUCCUGGAACAUGGCCCAGGUCAUCCAGA